RNAcentral lists this long non-coding RNA (629 nucleotides) under Homo sapiens (human). RNAcentral's name for it is "HSALNT0108690". Lineage: Eukaryota; Metazoa; Chordata; Mammalia; Primates; Hominidae. The record is from RNAcentral.
AUUACAUUAUGUCAGGGGCUAUAAAGUAUGUUUGUUGUAAAGUAUUAAAUUCCUCUCUUAAACUUCAAAUACACACAAUAUCAAGGAUUUUAAACAUAAUCCUUAGUAACUAAGUACUAUAUCUAAAUACUACAUCCAAAUACUGUAUCUAUUUAAACACAACACUAAUUUUGGGGGAAAAAAGCAAAAUUUGGGGGGAAAAAAAGCAAAAACCUUAUAGCUAAUUGUAUAAAAGCGCAUCACAGAAGGGGAACUACAAAAAGUGCAACAGACCAGGGAGCUACAAUAGCUACUUUCCUACUCUAAAUAAACCACAUAAAAAUAAAAGAGGCUAUUUAUUUGUAAUUCUAUUCACACUGGUGAUCUAGUAAUGUAAAUCAUAGCUUUCAUUUCAUUAAAAUCAUUUUACUCAAACAAAAGUUCCAAAGAAAUUUUCUUGCAAGAAUUUCAAAUUCUUAUAUUACAAAAAGUCAAGGCACUUGAACUGAAAACAAAAUAUGAAAAUAACAAAAGAAAAAGUAAUAUGGGUGGAGAUAGUAGUGUACUUACUUUUUUUUUUUUUUUUGAGACGGAGUCUCGCUCUGUCGCCCAGGCUGGAGUGCAGUGGCAUGACCUCGGCUCACUGCAAG